GUGCAAAACCGUGGCUAGUUCUGGCCGUGCUGAUCCAUCCCUCUGUAAGAGAGAUUCAAACCCCUUUGCAGCCCGUGUGGCGGGGCAGAUGGCACAGCACACAGGCCUCCGGGGACCCGCGGCGAAGUGCGAGGACAAGGACAUCAGAUAUGUGCAGGCAGUGACAGCUGAGUGGAGAAACCAUUCCCCGCCUCGGAGAGCGGCUGGGCAGAAUAUACAUGCAGACGUUGAUUACAGGAUCCACGGGCAAACAGGAGCUGAAUGCUGAUAAUUGAGCUGUCAGCGGGGAGGCCCGUCCUGGGCUCGCCGGGGCAACGGCCGCGGCCCCGGGAGCGGAGGGUCUGGCUGCCACCAGGCCAAGGACCCCGGGGCAGAGCCAGGACCCUGCCAGCUUCUCCCUGGGGCGAGCCCACGUUCCCCGCUGGCUUUGGGAAGAGAUGCAGGGUCGUGGAGCAUCACCGGUACCCCGGCGUGGGGCACCAUUCGUGGAGGAGCAACUGGAAUUCCCAGAGAUGCCCCAGGAUCUUCUCAUGCUCCGUGGGGACCAGGAGCAGCGUCCCUGUGCAGCGCAUCCCCUUUGCUGCACCAGCACGAGCCCCUCGCUGGGGUUUCCCCGCUGCGGGAGCUGGUUUGUGGUUAUUUAUCGCCUUGCCAGGCUCUGUCUUGGCUGGGGCUGAGCUCUGCCGGCAGCCCUGCCGUUCCCGGGGAGGUUUUGGGGAACACUGGCCGCACGUUGCCUUGUGUUGGUGGCAAGUGCUUGGCUUGGAAGCUGCUGCAGAGCCCCUGUGGCACAGGCAGGGGGUUUCAUCACAUUUUCUCUCCUUUGGAAACAAAAAAAUAAAACCUACCCACUGUCCAAAAGUUACAAG
Tyto alba (common barn owl) is the source of this 869-nucleotide long non-coding RNA. RefSeq lists it as uncharacterized. NCBI's taxonomy places the organism in Eukaryota, Metazoa, Chordata, Aves, Strigiformes, Tytonidae. The record is from RefSeq and is a predicted model, not a curated record. The transcript is spliced from 3 exons.